Molecule: long non-coding RNA, 344 nt
Filed under: Capsicum annuum
Lineage: Eukaryota; Viridiplantae; Streptophyta; Magnoliopsida; Solanales; Solanaceae
Description: long non-coding RNA (CANN_LNC012151)
Source: RNAcentral
AUACAUAAAUAGCAUGGUCAUCCAUAUUAAAGUGUAUCGCUAACAUGGACUUGUCAUUUAGAUAUCAUGAAAUCAUAUAAAUAUGAACUUCUAACAUCCUAGGCAUUUUAUCAAACACCUUACAUGCAUUCUUUAAGGCAUAGGUGGAUUUCAUACUUGCAUUAGUUCAACCCACCCAAAGUUCAUGAUUUUCAACCAACAAUCACAUAUAUUCCAUGAAAAACAUCCUUAGAUAUCAUCUUGAAACUUGAACAACAAUCAUCAACGUGUACAUGUUUAUAUCACCACAAAAGUUUACAAAAUAACAUUUAAAAGCAUGGUUCUUGAACUCUAUGAACGAAUUA